This 94-nucleotide small RNA is filed under the name Homo sapiens (human). Its description in RNAcentral is "nc015 non-coding RNA". Lineage: Eukaryota; Metazoa; Chordata; Mammalia; Primates; Hominidae. The record is from RNAcentral.
UAUCCAAACUGUAUCAGCUGCGUUCCAGCCACCUGGGUGGCAGGUCUCCUGGCUCCAUGCUGCAGCUGCCCCUGUUCUGGUUCAGACCUGGCAG